CCCAUUCAAUUACCCCACUUUCUCCAUUUAUCCCACCUUUCACGCCCCUUCUCCAUUUUCCCCACUGACAUUUCCAAUAUCCUCCUCCAUCAUCUGCACACACACACAAAAAAUAACAACACAAUUAUAGAGGUAGGGACAGACUCCAUUCCCAUAUAAAAAGAGAGAGAACACGCGAAAAAAGGGGGAAGAAGGAGCAGCCAAACCAGCUGCAAAUUUUCUAAAAACCAGACUGAAAAACCCAGAAAAGUUGUCCCAAAAUCAGCACCAAAAACCCGACAAACCACCGUCCAAAACUAGCCACAAACAUCCAUCGAAACGACCCAUUUUACACCAGAACCAGCUGUCCAAAUCUAGUCGAGUCGGUAUAGUUUUCGUUGAGAUCUUGGUUUGAGGUCACCAUUGAGGUUAUGAUCGAUUGGCUCUGUUGCGUUUAAAGAACUGUUUGUUGAUAGCACUAUUUGCUUGCUGAUUCCUGCUGGCUUUAUUGGUUAUAACUUGUAAAGAGCCUUAUGAGUUGGACUUUGCAUUUUCUUUGUGCAAUGUUUUUGCAUCAGGUAUUCCCCUUUACCUUUAAUAGUGUAAAACUUGGAAUGAAGUUUAUGGAAUAUGAGUUUAUUUUAGCUAUCCGAACUUGUCUGUAUUAUCUGAAAUAUGAUUUAAGUUGAUUGGUACCAAGAAUGAAUACUUGGAUAUUAGAGUUCAUUCGUACGUAGUUCAUAAACUUUAAAAAUAGUUUUUUAUGUGUAAAUAACAAACUUGUGAUGUUGUGCUUUUAUUUUUCUUUCCGAAGUUCCAAAAUAUAACAAAAUGUGUUAGAAGUUUCUGGCAAUGUUCUUUAGGUGUUUUGUGUUAAUAAACUUUGAAGAGGGAUGUUUAAAUUAUCGGACUAGGCAACAUGUUUGUUUUAUUCUUUGUUUUUCAUUAGUAUGCUAAGAGCAGAUUGAGCAAAAGAAAAAAAAUUGUUGUAUUUAUUUGGAACUAUAAAACUUAUAGUUUAAAUAGAAAAUUGGUUUUAAAGUCCAUAAAUUGUAGUAGAUCUGUCUUUAAGUCUUCGUGUUAGAAUAGAGUUCUUUAGGAAUUUAAAGUAAAAGUUUUACAAAAUGUAUUUCUCAUUAAGUCAGCAAUGUUUUCCUUUUUGUUUUUUUUUUAAAUUACCAAUAGAAAUGAAAUCAAGUAUAUUCUUUAGACUCUUGAAGCUGGAUGCCAUGAAUAAUUUUAGAGGAAUACUUUAUUAAGUUAACUGAGAAAAAAAAAUUCUUUUCUAAGGAUAUUUCUAAUUGUUGAAAAGAGAUGGUGGGUCCGUUAUUUAGUUAUUGAUUUGAUGGUCUAAAUCCAAUUAUGUCUAAGUUUUGAUUAAACUAGUCAUGUGUUGUAGCGGAGAAUUUACAGAAAAGAAAAAUAACAAAUGAGUUGAUACUAAAACUGUAUUUUUGGGUUUUAUUUUGUUGAAUAAAAAUAGGAAUUAGACCAAAAGUAAUUACUAAGCUCACUUCCAUAAUAAACAAAGUUGUUUCAUUGCUUCCUAAAAAAAUGGGAAAAGAAAAUGAAAGUCGGCCCAAAGUGUCAAAAUCGACAAAGGCUUUUAGUGAUUUUUUUUAGUAAAAUUAGUUUAGUUCCCUAGGCAAUUUUAUGCGCGUCCUCAAGUAUUGACCAAGUGUUCAUACACGAUCCUUGAUUAAUAUCAAAUAAUAAAUGAUCAUGUGUGCAUCUCCGCUCCUUGACUCGUCAAUAGUAAAUUGUGUUUGACCAUGUGUUCAUACCCGUUCCUUGGCUAAAUGCAUGUCAUCAAAUAAAAACCUUUUGUGCUUACACGCUCCUAGGCACCUGUUAAUAAAACUUAAUUAUCUAUUAAGCAAUACUAGACAAUAAUAAUUUAAGGCAAAUAAAUCACAGUUUAUCCAGAAUUAAUUCAAGCCAAGUUUAAGUCAAUAAAGAGACCGUGCUAGAACCACGAGACUCGGGGAAUGCCUUACACCUUCUCCCUGAUCAACAGAAUUCCUUACCCGAAUUUUGUUUUCGCAGACCAACAUAAAAAGAGUCAAAUCUUCCUUUGAAUAGGGAUUUCAAAUAAAAGGUGACUUGGAACACCCAAAAAAUCAAAUUUCAAGUAGCGACUCUGUAAAUAAAAUAACCCCUACUCAAAUUUAUCACUUUAAAUUGGAAAAAACUAUUUAAUCCACAAUCCAUAACUUUUUACGUUAUAUUUUGGAGGGGUAAACAGGGGGUGUGACAUCCACUAUCUUUGCUUCAUUGCAGUCCGCUUCCUUUCAUUGUUUCCUGCACAUGCAAAUCAUGAGUUAGAUUUAGGAACCCAAACCAGUUUGGGUCCCUUGUUAUGAUAAAAGGGAUGGAUAUGAGCUUUUCUAGUCCAUGCAGGCAAUAUUCGUUUCUUGCGACGGGUACCUGGUCCCUUGUUAGUAGUCACUUUAUCAGUAAACACUUUGUUUUUCUUAACAGAUUGAGCCCUGGCCUGGCAAUUUUCUUUGAAGUGCUCAUUUUUCCCACAGUGUGUACACUGCCAGUUAUUAAGAACAUUGACGUACUUGCUGUGAGGGUUGUAAGGAGUUUUCUCCCUUUGGAACCCGAUCCCUUCCUGUUUUCACUGUUAUUCAAGUACAUGGCAGUCACAUCAUCUGAGGACCAGAUCCACUUUCGAGAUUUCUCAAGAUCACCUUUGAUUUUCUCUAAUUCAGCUUGAAGUUGUCGAUUUUUCUCAAGUUCACCACAUAGACUGGUUUUCACAUCGUUUAACUCAUGUUCAAGCUUGAUGUGUGUGUCACUAACUACUUUUUUCCCUUUCCCAAGGCUUACAGUCCUAUGUUCUCUAUUGAGUCCCUCAAUGAUUUCCACUAGGUCAGUAAUUAUCACUAAACAAUCAUCCCUCUCUUGCUCAGUAGCUAAACUUUUUCCUUCUAGAGUGUGUUUCUCAUUACUAAGACCUUCUACUGUUUCCUUCAAGUCAGCCACCACUACCAUCAGGUCAUCUCUCUCAUUUUCUGCACUAGUUAUUUUUUCAUUUAGAGCUUCCUUUUUUUUCAAGAUUAGCUAUGGUCUUAUUUAGGUCCACUACACAAACAACCAGAUCAUCUCUAGAUUGUUCAGCUUCUCCUAGUUCUAAGGUCAGGAUCUCCUUAUCAUUAUCAAGGCUAUAAUAAACAUCAAUUAAAAUAUUGGCUAAUGACCUUAACUUCUUAGAAGAGUAGGAUUUCAUAUUUCUCUGAACAUCCCUGAAGUUUACCUCAUCAUCUUCAUCUUCUUCAUCCUCAUCAGACCGAGCCAUCAACGCAAACAGUGAGUCAUACUUCGUUGCUUUAGUUUCCACUUCCAUCAUGGAACUAUUUUCUGCAUCUGAUUCCCUUUCUGAUUCACUGGAGGAAUCUCCCUAAGCAGCAAGUGACUGCUUCACAAUAUUGUCCGCUGCACUUUUUCAAUUGAAUCGUUUGUCUGGAACUAGGUUCCUUUUUGCUUCUUUGUCAGGAUUUUGUUUGUAUGGCUCUUGUUUCACGAGUGGACAGUCUUUGAUAAAAUGCCCUGGCUUUCCGCACCUGUGACAGAGAUCAUUGUUCUUUUCUUUACUUGAACUUCUCCUCUUUGGUAUACCUCCAUUUCUUCGAACCAUCUUUUGAAAUCUUUUAGUAAGAUAGGCCAUGUCACUAUCUUCAUUACUUGAGCCACUGCUUUCAGCUUUGAGUACCAGGUUCUUUUCCUUCUUAGGCUCUCUCCUUUCACUGUCUUUCUUUCUUUUCAUCUUGUAUGUCUUCAGAUUACUAAUCAACUCAUCCAUGGUUAGACUUUGUAGAUCUUUAGUUUCAGUGAUGGCAUUUACCUUACUUUCCCAAGAACCAGGUAGAACACUGAGGAUUUUCCUUACAAACUUGUUUCUGGGAAUGACAUUUCCAAGUAAAUGAAGCUCAUUUAUGAUGGAGGUGAAUCCGGUGUGCAUAUCUUGUAUAGACUCAUCAUCGUUCAUCCUAAAGAGCUCAUACUCUGUGGUGAGCAUGUCAAUCUUGGACUGUUAACAUGAGUAGUUCCUUCGUGUGCGGUUUGCAAUACCUCCCAUAUUUCUUUGGCAGUAUCACACGUUGAGACUCUAUUGUACUCAUCAGGUCCUAUGCCACAUACCAAGAUUUUUUUGGCACGAUAGUUCUUUUCUACGGCUUUUCUAUCAAUGUCGAUGUACUCUUUUCUGUCUUUCGACACUAUUGGUCCAGUUUCUUCAAGCUUCUUCAUAGGAACAUAUGAACCAUCACAAAUGAUGUCCCAUAGUUCUGAAUCUUCGGCAAUUAUUAAGUCAUGCAUGCGAGUCUUCCACUAGCCAUAGUAUUGACCGUUGAAUCUAGGAGGUUUGUAGGUUGAUUAUCCUUCCUCAAAGUUAGGUGGAUCAGCCAUUGAGAUCCUUUCUAGGUAUUAAUCUUUUAGAAAGAACCUGCUCUGAUACCAAUUGUUAGCUUGUAUGAGUCCAUCAAACUGUAGAGUACCUGGUCCUCUAUGAGAUAAUACUGAGAAUGCUAAUAAAACUGAAAGUAAAGAAGACAAGGGAUUUUUACGCGGAAAAAAUCCCACACAAGGGAAUCAAAAAACCACGACCUACACUUGUAGGCUUUUAACUUCACUAACUUGCAAUCUCACUAUUACAAGUCACUUUGCAAUAACCCUAUUACAAAGACUUCAACUAACUUGUGAUUCUCUCACCACAAGCUACUUUAUAACUCUCGUAGUUACAAAGACUUUAAACUUAUGACUAAUCCUAGCCACAACAAAAACUUGGAAGUUUACAGAUUUUUUGGUUUUCCUAAGACAAAGCUUCUAAGAAAGCAAGAUAGGAGAUAUAAUGAAGAACAAAUAACAAGAUUACAAUUCAACUAUGGAUAUAUAUAAACUCAUUAAGAAAUUGAUCCUUAGUGGAGUUGUCUUCUUGUUCUUGACGCAUCAGUGACUUCAAUGUCGGAUGAACACUGUUAUGCUUGAGAGAAUAUCACUGAAUGCACACAGAUGUUGUGCCUUGCAUCAGGUUGUUAUAUCACAAAAGACAUCACAAUAGAUAGUGAUGUCAAUUCUUGGUACACGCUUCUUCCCAAUGAGAAGUGACUGUUGCACUGUCUGCACAGUCACUUCUAUGCAGUUGUGUUCCAGCUAUAUAGUUAGAGCUGUCAAAACGGGCUAUCCUAGCUCAACCCAGCCCAAGCCUCGUGGGCUUUUAAAUUUGGUGGGCUAGGGCGGGCUGGCCCUCCAUCUAUAUGGGCCUUAAAAUGGCUAGCCCAGCCCAGCCCUAAGAGGGCCGCAAGCUAGGGCGGCCGACCCUUCAACUUUUUUAGAAAAAAAUAUUUCUUCAAAUUUUUAGAUAUUUUUUCGUGACAUAAUCUUUUAAUCAUAUGAACGACUUCUGUUUAUUUAGAGUGUACAAGAAUCUUGAUAUUCGAUAAGGAAUCUCGUAAUUGAAAUGCAAAUUCUCUAUAUCUCUAGCUCUUCUUUUUUAAUGUUACAUGAAUUAUUUUUUAAUACUUUUCUUACACUUUCCUUAGAUUCAGGUAGUGCUUCGAUAAGUUUAUAUGUUAAGGUUUUUAAUGUAGGUUUAACAUUAUUUGUUGAUUUCAUCAUUAUAGUCCAUGAAAUUUUUAAAAUUCAUGAAAUUUUUAAAAUUCAUGAAAUUUGCUAGUGUUUUUCAAUUUUCUUUUGGUAUUAAAACUUGACCUUAUUUUAUACUGAAGAGCAAUUUAAUAAUUAAUAAUAUAUUAAAGUAACUAAACUGAUCAUUGGCCACUUAAAGAAAUAUUUCUUUUGAAAAAAAUUACUAUUGGCCACUUAAAACUUUCCUAGUUCGUUGUUAACUAAGCAAAAGAAAAACUAAUCUUGUCAUACUACAUGCAUAUCAAAAAUAUAGAUUCUAGUUGAUAAGGAAGGAUAAAUGAGAAUUCUAAGGUUGGAAAAUGUAGAUUAUAGUUAAUAUUUUUUUAGUUUUUACUUUUUUUAAAUAUUUAAAUAUAAAUGUAAUUAAUUUUUGGCCCACGGGCCAGCCUCGGUCAAGCCUCAAGGGCCAGCGAGCUGACUUGGGCCGGGAUUAUAAGCCUCAAUUUUAAAUGGGCUAAAACAAUCCCAACUCAGCCCUACCCAAGUAGUGGGCUGGGUUGGGGCCAUGCCCAUUUUGACGGCUCUAUGUAUAGUUGACUUGUACUUCUGUCAGAAAAUACUAAGGGACCAAGUCCCAGUUGUGUUCCUCUUUUGUAACAGUUGCGAGAUAGUCACUUUCUGUUGUUACAUUCCAGCUGUACAAUUGACUUGUACUUCUGUCAGAGAACUCUAAGAGACCAGGUCCCUAUUGUGUUCCUCUUUAUAAUAAUUGCGGACAGUCACUGACUUGUACUUCUGUCGGAGAACCCUAAGGGACCAGAUCACCAGGUCCUUGUUGUGUUCCUCCUUGUGGUUGUUCAUUCAUUUGCUGGAGACCAGAUUGGACAUUAUUCAUUUGAAAUGUAUACCGCGUGGUCAGGUUCUCUAUCUGGUUCUUCAAUAAGUUUGUUAGAUCAUCAAAACAUAAGAAGCAUAAGGCAAAGACAUUGAAAACCCAUCAGAAAGGAUUUGGAUUUUUGUGAAACUGUUGAUGCUUGUCAAGACUUGUGCCUUACACCCCUGAUGCUAUAUCCUCAAGUAAGUAUGCCAAAGCCUGUGGCUAUAGAGUGGUGCAAGGCUAAUCUGUUAUACUGUGUGUGGCAAAUUGAUAACAAGUAUUUUGUGUAUGUUAUUUUCCACUUGGGAGAGGGUUUGAUUCGAAUUUAUGAUAGCAAUGUCAGUUUGUAUUGUCACACCUCCUUCUUCCGCCCUGAGGGGUUUUCACUAAUAACUCUCUCAUUUCUCUCAACUCCCGUCGCCUCAUGGUGCCCGUGAAGGUUUUAACCAAUGAGACUCUCUCAUUUUAUUUUAUUUUUCAGCUGGGGAUUGGAGCGUGCCGAUACGAUGCUCUUUGGUGGGGAUUCUUCCGGCUAUCAAUUCGUUUCCAGUUUUUUGAUCCUUUUCUCUGCUGGGGAUCAGAGUGUUGCUCCUGACUUCCACGUGCAUGAACUUGGCACUUCUCGAAUACUGAUCGGGAGGUCUUUUUUGGACAUCAAUAUGGUUUUUUAUGUAUGGCUAAAAAAAAGAAAAAGGGGUAUCAAAAGGCUCAAAAUAAUUUUGAUGGGUAAAAUAUUACAACUCUUGGAAUCAAACUUUCUUUCCUAAAAUUACAAACACAACUUCUGCCCAGUUUUCUUGCUUGGGGAUUCUUAUUUUUUGUUACACUAUGACCGAGCCGUGAGGCGCCUACGUAUCCUUCUUUGAGGAAUCAGGUCAAACGUAGUUCCCAUUUUCUUUGUUUUUUUUCUUGUGACUUUUCUUUUGUCUUUAUUAUUGUUUUUCUCUCUUUUUAUCUUUUGUUUUGAUUACUGAUUCCAAAAGAGGGAUAUGAAAGAAUAAAUAAGGCUCAAACGGGUAAGCAAAGGUUAAAAUGUUUUGAUAGAAGAAAGAAUUGCCUCCGUCAUCUCAUUCUCCGAUAAAUGCCAACCCAAACAAAUGUCAAUUACAAUCAAAAGAGAUUAUACAUAAUAUCUCUUAACUGCGUCGGAAUUGAUAGCCAUGUCGAUGCAUUUUCCUUCGAUAUCUGUUAAACAUAAAGCGCCAUAGGACAAUACUCUGGUUACAAUGAAUGAUCCUUGCCAAUUCGGAGCGAACUUGCCUUUUGCUUCCGCUUGGUGUGGCAGGAUUUGUUUCAACACUUGUUGCCCCACUUCAAAUUUUCUGGGGCGCACCCUCUUGUUGUAAGCUCUCGCCAUUCUCUUUUGAUAUAACUGGCCAUGACACACGGCUGCCAAUCUUUUUUCAUCAAUCAAGCUCAACUGUUCCAAACGGGUUUUGACCCACUCAUCAUCAUCAAUCUCAGCCUCGGCGACAAUCCGAAGGGAUGGAAUUUCCACUUCCGCUGGUAUCACUGCUUCAGUUCCAUACACCAACAAAUAAGGGGUUGCACCUACUGAAGUCCGGACGGUAGUGCGAUAACCCAACAAUGUGAAUGGUAAUUUUUCAUGCCAUUUCCUGGAUCCUUCUACCAUCUUCCUCAGUAUCUUUUUGAUGUUCUUGUUGGCCGCUUCAACAGCUCCAUUUGCCUUGGGACGAUAUGGUGUGGAAUUACGGUGUGUAAUCUUAAACUGUUCGCAUACUUCUCUCAUCAAACUGUUGUUAAGAUUAGCACCGUUGUCCGUAAUUAUCACUUUCGGGACCCCAAAUCUACAGAUGAUAUGGGAAUGGACAAAAUCCACCACUGCCUUCUUGGUUACUGACUUGAAAGUUUUGGCUUCAACCCACUUAGUAAAAUAAUCGAUGGCCACCAGAAUGAACCUGUGACCGUUCGAAGCCGCCGGUUCAAUAGGCCCAAUGACGUCCAUCCCCCAUGCCACAAAUGGCCAUGGUACUGACAUUGUGUGCAAUUCCGUUGGUGGAGAAUGAAUUAGAUCGCCGUGUAUCUGACACUGAUGGCAUUUCCGCACGAAUUUGAUACAAUCAUGCUCCAUGGUGAGCCAAUAAUACCCUGCUCGAAGAAUCUUCUUCGCCAAUACAUAUCCGCUCAUAUGGGGUCCACAAACUCCAGCAUGUACCUCUGUCAUAACCGUCGUGGCUUGACUGGCGUCUAUACAUCUCAGCAAUCCCAAAUCUGGGGUUUUCUUGUAUAACACUCCACUAAGGAAGAAACCACUAGACAAUCGCUGAAUGGCUCUUUUUUGGUCUCCGGUGGCCUGCUCCGGGUAUAUCCCCAUCCUGAGAUACUCUUUGACAUCAUAAAACCAUGGCUCGCCAUCCACUUCUUCCUCUAUCAUGUUGCAAUAGGCAUGCUGAUCGUGAACCUGGAUGUGCAACGGGUCAACAUGAAUUUUGUCUGGGUGGUGCAACAUUGAUGCUAAAGUGGCCAAUGCAUCGGUAACCUCAUUGUGAACUCUAGGGAUGUGUCUGAACUCUACUAAUCGAAACCGCUUGCUCAGAUCGUGCAAACAUUGUUGAUAUGGUAUGAGCUUCAAAUCCCGUGUUUCCCAUUCACCCUGAAUUUGAUGCACCAGGAGGUUCGAGUCUCCCAAGACCAAAACGUCCUGGACAUCUAUGUCUGCCGCUAAUCGCAAACCCAAAAUGCAUGCCUCGUACUCAGCCAUGUUGUUGGUACAAUAGAAACGCAGUUGAGCUGUAACAGGGUAAUGAUGUCCAGUUUCGUAAAUAAGCACUGCUCCUAUUCCAACUCCCUUCGCAUUUGCGGCUCCAUCAAAGAAAAGCUUCCAACCGGGUUCCUCAGGUAACUCCAACUCAUCUAUCUGCAUUACUUCCUCGUCGGGAAAAUACGUCCUCAACGGCUCGUAUUCCUCGUCAACAGGAUUCUCAGCCAAGUGAUCUGCCAAUGCUUGGGCCUUCAUGGCUAUCCUCGUCACAUAGACGAUAUCGAACUCCGUGAGUAAUAUUUGCCAUUUUGCCAACCUUCAUGUGGGCAUAGGUUUUUGGAAAAUAUACUUUAACGGAUCCAAACGGGAAAUGAGAUAAGUAGUAUAUGAGGAUAAAUAAUGUUUCAACUUCUGGGCCACCCAGGUUAGGGCGCAACAUGUCUUCUCGAGUUGAGUGUACUUAACCUCAUAUACUGUAAACUUCUUGAUGAGAUAAUAGAUGGCUUGCUCUUUUCUUCCCGUAAUGUCGUGCUUCCCCAACACGCAACCAAAAGAAUUCUCCAAGACCGUCAGAUAAAGAAUUAACGGUCUUCCCGGCUCAGGGGGAACCAAUACAGGUGGAUUUGAUAAAUAUUCUUUGAUCUGGUCGAAUGCCGCCUGGCAUUCCGCCGUCCAUCUUAUUGCAGCAUCCUUCUUCAACAGCUGAAAAAUGGGUUCGCAGGUUGCUGUGAGUUGAGCAAUAAAUCUGCUGAUGUAAUUCAACCUUCCCAACAGACUCAUCACUUCUGUCUUGUUCUUCGGCGGUGGCAACUCUUGGAUAGAUUUGAUUUUUGAUGGAUCCAGUUCAAUACCUCGCCGACUGACGAUGAAUCCCAAAAUCUUCCCGGAUGGAACACCAAAUGCGCAUUUGGCCGGGUUGAGCUUAAUAUCAUACCUUCGAAGUCUUUGAAAGAACUUCCUUAGGUCUGCUACGUAGUCUUCCUGACGCUUGGACUUUAUGAUUACAUCGUCUACGUACACUUCAAUUUCUUUGUGUAUCAUGUCAUGAAACACAGUGGUCAUUUCUCUCAUGUACGUUGCUCCAGCAUUCUUCAAACCAAAUGGCAUUACCCGGUAGCAAUAGGUUCCCCACGGCGUAAUGAAGGCUGUCUUUUCCGCAUCUUCCUCAUCCAUCAGAAUCUGAUGAUACCUAGCAUAACAAUCCACAAAAGAUCCGAUCUUACACCUGGCACAAUUGUCGAUCAAGAUAUGGAUGUUGGGUAAAGGAAAGUUGUCUUUAGGGCUUGCCCUGUUCAGAUUGUGGUAGUCGACGCACACCCUGAUCUUUCCAUCUUUCUUUGGGACCGGCACCACAUUAGCCAACCAAUCAGGAUAUCGAGUGACACGAAUAACCUUUGCUUGUAGCUGCUUGGUUACUUCUUCUUUAAUUUUCAUGCUCAUCUCCAUUUUGAACUUUCUCAAUUUUUGCUUGACGGGAGGGCACGCCGGGUCAGUGGGCAAUUUAUGAACCACUAAAUCUGUGCUUAACCCCGGCAUGUCAUCAUACGACCAUGCAAAAACAUCUUUGAACUCAAUAAGUGUUUUGACCAAUUCCUCCCUGAUAUUUGGUGCAAUGUGGAUGCUUAUUUUAGUUUCUCUGACAUCGCCGGCAUCCCCUAAAUUGAUGGCUUCUGUGUCAUUUAAGUUGGGUUUGUAUUUUUCUUCAAACUGGAUCAACUCUNNNNNNNNNNNNNNNNNNNNNNNNNUGAUGAUGGUAAACUAGAAGAACUGGUACAAUUUCUCGCACUCAUUAUGCCUAGGAUUUUGAUGAAAACUGGCCAGUUGCAUACUUAGGCCAAGAUGUGCUUACGAAGAAAUGGUCCUGGGAGCGUAUUAUGGAUGUGCCAUCCAUUCAGCGAAGGUAAAUUAAAUGUGAAAUCCAUUAUGUUUUACUCAUUCUUCUAGUUUCUUUAAUAAUUAAUCUUUGAUUAUUCUAGUGAAAAUAGUGGAGCAUAUGCAGUGAAGAUUAUUGACUUCCUACUAACUGAUACACUGUUGGAUCAGCUUAAUGACAAGCUAAUAGAGUUAUUCAGGAAAAAAAUUGCAGUUGAUAUCUUUAGGAGAAGGAUGAACCCUUCUUAGUUUUAUAAUUAUAAUUUCAAUUUAUGUUGGUCAUGAGACAAAUUCAUUUUGGGUGAACUUAUAGUAAUUUAUGAUAUUUGUAUCUACCUCUAUGUAAAGAAACUACCUUACUGUUUAUUAACUAUUGAUGAUGUAAUUUUUGUUUUCUUAGCACUUUCCUAUUGUAUUACAACAGGUAGCUAUUUGGUUGUGUACUAGACA
This 11492-nucleotide long non-coding RNA is filed under the name Nicotiana tabacum (common tobacco). Its description in RNAcentral is "long non-coding RNA (NTAB_LNC006152)". The record is from RNAcentral. Lineage: Eukaryota; Viridiplantae; Streptophyta; Magnoliopsida; Solanales; Solanaceae.